This is a non-coding RNA of Bordetella hinzii, 104 nucleotides long. It matches the Rfam family "Vibrio RNA AS9". From Rfam's summary of the family: Identified by direct cloning an parallel sequencing experiments with 5S/tRNA depletion. Confirmed by Northern blot. NCBI's taxonomy places the organism in Bacteria, Pseudomonadati, Pseudomonadota, Betaproteobacteria, Burkholderiales, Alcaligenaceae. The record is from Rfam.
CUGGCGGCAGCGCUCUUCGGUCAGCGUCAGGCAGACCAGCCCCCGCCCGUGGGUCACCAUGAAGUUGAUGGCCUCGGGCGUGACGAACUCCGCCGCCAUGACCA